CAAUAGCGUAUAUUAAAGUUGUUGCAGUUAAAAAGCUCGUAGUUGGAUUUCUGGGAGGGUGCCAAUGUCCGUCAACGUGCGUGUGCAGCGGCGCCCUUCCAUCCUUCUGUUAACGCCUCUGGGCAUUUACUUGCCGGCGGCGGGCUCAGAUAUUUUACCUUGAGAAAAUUAGAGUGUUUCAGGCAGGCUAGGCCGGAAUACAUUAGCAUGGAAUAAUAGAAUAGGACUAUGGUCUCUUUGUUGGUUUGAGGGACUAUGGUAAUGAUUAAUAGGGAUAGUUGGGGGCAUUAGUAUUUAAUUGUCAGAGGUGGAAUUCUCAGAUUUGUUAAAGACUAACUUAUGCGAAAGCAUUUGCCAAGGAUGUUUUCAUUAA
Molecule: ribosomal RNA, 373 nt
Filed under: uncultured eukaryote
Lineage: Eukaryota
Description: partial 18S ribosomal RNA
Rfam family: Eukaryotic small subunit ribosomal RNA
Source: RNAcentral